AGUGAACGCUGGCGGUAGGCCUAACACAUGCAAGUCGAACGGCAGCACAGUAAGAGCUUGCUCUUACGGGUGGCGAGUGGCGGACGGGUGAGGAAUACAUCGGAAUCUACUUUUUCAUGGGGGAUAACGUAGGGAAACUUACGCUAAUACCGCGUACGACCUACGGGUGAAAGCAGGGGAUCUUCGGACCUUGCGCGAUUGAAUGAGCCGAUGUCGGAUUAGCUAGUUGGCGGGGUAAAGGCCCACCAAGGCGACGAUCCGUAGCUGGUCUGAGAGGAUGAUCAGCCACACUGGAACUGAGACACGGUCCAGACUCCUACGGGAGGCAGCAGUGGGGAAUAUUGGACAAUGGGCGCAAGCCUGAUCCAGCCAUACCGCGUGGGUGAAGAAGGCCUUCGGGUUGUAAAGCCCUUUUGUUGGGAAAGAAAAGCAGCAGGUUAAUACCCCGCUGUUCUGACGGUACCCAAAGAAUAAGCACCGGCUAACUUCGUG
Molecule: ribosomal RNA, 492 nt
Filed under: uncultured bacterium
Lineage: Bacteria
Description: partial 16S ribosomal RNA
Rfam family: Bacterial small subunit ribosomal RNA
Source: RNAcentral